Molecule: ribosomal RNA, 497 nt
Filed under: uncultured bacterium
Lineage: Bacteria
Description: partial 16S ribosomal RNA
Rfam family: Bacterial small subunit ribosomal RNA
Source: RNAcentral
GAUGAACGCUGGCGGCGUGCCUAAUACAUGCAAGUCGAGCGAACAGACGAGGAGCUUGCUCCUCUGACGUUAGCGGCGGACGGGUGAGUAACACGUGGAUAACCUACCUAUAAGACUGGGAUAACUUCGGGAAACCGGAGCUAAUACCGGAUAAUAUAUUGAACCGCAUGGUUCAAUAGUGAAAGACGGUUUUGCUGUCACUUAUAGAUGGAUCUGCGCCGCAUUAGCUAGUUGGUAAGGUAACGGCUUACCAAGGCAACGAUGCGUAGCCGACCUGAGAGGGUGAUCAGCCACACUGGAACUGAGACACGGUCCAGACUCCGACGGGAGGCAGCAGUAGGGAAUCUUCCGCAAUGGGCGAAAGCAGGACGGAGCAACGCCGCGUGAGUGAUGAAGGUCUUCGGAUCGUAAAACUCUGUUAUUAGGGAAGAACAAAUGUGUAAGUAACUAUGCACGUCUUGACGGUAACUAAUCAGAAAGCCACGGCUAACUACGUG